Molecule: RNA transcript, 8961 nt
Organism: Diceros bicornis minor
Lineage: Eukaryota; Metazoa; Chordata; Mammalia; Perissodactyla; Rhinocerotidae
Gene: KCNA4
Gene name: potassium voltage-gated channel subfamily A member 4
Exons: 4
Source: RefSeq, a predicted model, not a curated record
CUCCCGCUAACAAGCGCUCGCUGCUGUCUAGGAUCCCGCUGCUUCUGCUGCGGAGCCUUGACUUCCUCUCCCACCUGGCCCUCCUGUGCUGAACUCCGGAGGAGCCCGAGUCUUGGGGUCUUCCCGGGCGCAGCCCGACCCCCGCCCCGGGCUCCAGCGGCGAGAACCCUGCGCCCCCGUGCAGGCGACAGAACUUGUUCCCUGGAUGUCCUGGAGCCUCCGCCUGCCUCCCCGGAGUGGUUCCUUCUACCCGAGAUCGCUCUUCCCCUCCUCCGGCUGCUGUCGCUCUGGGGGGAACGACACCGGGGUUCUCUCUAUUUUUCUUGUGCGCCCGCCUGGAUCGGUGAAGUGCUUCUUCUGCAUGAGUUUAGCUGAAGGAUGCUCUGCAUUUCCUUGAUUUCUAUGGAGACCUCAGAGCCGGGUUUGCCCCUGCUGACACCUCGUCUUGCACCUUCUCUACCUCCCAAAGUCUUUGUCUCUGUCGAUAGCCUGGCAUCACCCCUGGGUCCAGGAGGCCUGUGAUGAACUUAAGGGGAGAGCCUGGAGAAUCACCCUGGUAGGCUUUGAGCGGCAAUGGCUGGACAUACGUCAAGUCACGUGUUAACAUGGGUCAAGACGUCACUAGAAGGCAAGUGCUAAGACUAAAGGCUUAUUUGCGUUUUAUUUAAAUAUGAUGGACGGAGCUUUGGACAAUUUCCAUGGCAGAAAAAUAUAUUCCAUUUUCUAGGCACAACUGCUGGCUGUCAGAUACUUGCUGCCUUUGAAUCGAGCAGCAUCAUCACCAACCACAUCCUAAAUGUAUUUCCGAAUUUGAAGAUCCACCCAAGACAGGAGUUUGGGAGACCCGGCCAUUUUCUGACUUAGGCUUGAGAGUGCAAGGCUGUGUAUCUAGAGCAGCCAAGUUCUAGAGAGCAGUGUUGAAUCCCUGGGAAGAGAGAGCAUGGGGCGUGCUGGUUUAAAAACAGAAAAUGCAAAGUUGGACUGAAAAUAUCCCUAGUCUUCCAAGCAAUCUGCUUAAGGGUUCCAAACUUACCUUAAUUUGGUGAGAAGAGAAGCUGCCCUAUUUUCCUUUCUUCUUCUUCUACAACUGGAACCAGCCGUUUCCAAAGGCCGCCACCAUGGAGGUUGCGAUGGUGAGUGCGGAGAGCUCAGGGUGCAACAGUCACAUGCCUUACGGGUACGCGGCCCAGGCCCGGGCGCGGGAGCGGGAGCGCCUGGCCCACUCGAGGGCCGCGGCCGCGGCCGCCGUCGCCGCUGCCACCGCUGCCCUGGAAGGCGGCGGGGGCUCUGGAGGGGGCUCGCACCACCACCACCAGGCGCGGGCGGCCUGCCCCGCGCAGGAGCCUCCGAGCGGCCGGGGCAGUCGCAGGAGGCGGCCGCCGCGGCCGGAGAAGAGGAGGGCCCACCACCGCCAGAGCGGCUUCCCUCACUGCUCCGACCUGAUGCCCAGCGGCUCUGAGGAGAAGAUCCUGAGGGAGCUGAGCGAGGAGGAGGAGGACGAGGACGAGGAGGACGAGGACGAGGACGAGGAGGGCAGGAUCUGCUGCAGCGAGGACGACCGCGGGGACGAGUGCGCCUACACGGACCUGCUGCCCCAGGAGGACGGCGCCGGCGGGGCCUGCAGCGCCGUGCGCUACAGUGACUGCUGCGAGCGCGUGGUCAUCAACGUGUCCGGCCUGCGCUUCGAGACCCAGAUGAAGACCCUGGCCCAGUUUCCGGAGACGCUGCUGGGGGACCCUGAGAAGAGGACGCAGUACUUUGACCCUUUGCGGAACGAGUAUUUUUUUGACAGGAACAGGCCUAGCUUUGAUGCCAUCUUAUAUUAUUACCAGUCGGGAGGCCGCCUGAAGAGGCCGGUCAACGUGCCCUGUGACAUCUUCACUGAGGAGGUGAAGUUCUACCAGCUGGGGGAGGAGGCCCUGCUCAAGUUUCGGGAGGACGAGGGCUUUGUGAGAGAGGAGGAGGACAGGGCCUUGCCAGAGAACGAGUUUAAGAAGCAGAUUUGGCUCCUCUUUGAGUAUCCGGAGAGCUCCAGCCCGGCGAGGGGCAUAGCCAUCGUCUCCGUCCUGGUCAUCUUAAUCUCCAUUGUCAUUUUCUGCCUGGAAACCUUGCCUGAGUUUAGGGACGACAGGGAUCUCAUCAUGGCCCUGAGUGCGGGUGGGCACAGUGGGUCGUUGAAUGACACCUCGGCACCCCCCCCGGAGAACUCGGGGCACACUAUCUUCAACGACCCCUUCUUCAUCGUGGAGACGGUCUGCAUUGUUUGGUUUUCCUUCGAGUUUGUGGUUCGCUGCUUUGCUUGUCCCAGCCAAGCACUCUUCUUCAAGAACAUCAUGAACAUCAUUGACAUUGUCUCCAUCUUGCCUUAUUUCAUCACACUGGGCACCGAUCUGGCCCAGCAGCAGGGCGGGGGCAACGGUCAGCAGCAGCAGGCCAUGUCCUUCGCCAUCCUCAGGAUCAUCCGGCUGGUCCGAGUGUUCCGGAUCUUCAAGCUUUCCAGACACUCCAAGGGCCUGCAGAUCCUGGGCCACACCCUCAGAGCCAGCAUGCGGGAACUGGGCCUCCUGAUCUUCUUCCUCUUCAUCGGGGUCAUCCUGUUUUCCAGCGCUGUGUAUUUCGCGGAGGCGGAUGAACCUACCACCCAUUUCCAAAGCAUCCCAGAUGCAUUCUGGUGGGCUGUGGUGACCAUGACGACUGUGGGCUAUGGGGACAUGAAGCCCAUCACUGUGGGGGGCAAGAUCGUGGGGUCCCUGUGUGCCAUUGCGGGUGUCCUGACCAUCGCUUUGCCUGUGCCCGUCAUUGUCUCCAACUUCAACUACUUCUACCACAGAGAGACUGAGAACGAGGAGCAGACACAGCUGACACAGAAUGCAGUUAGUUGCCCGUACCUCCCUUCCAAUCUGCUGAAGAAAUUCCGGAGCUCUACUUCUUCUUCCCUGGGGGACAAGUCAGAGUAUCUAGAGAUGGAGGAAGGAGUUAAGGAAUCUCUCUGUGCAAAGGAGGAGAAGUGUCAGGGAAAGGAGGAUGACAGUGAGACAGAUAAGAACAACUGUUCUAAUGUGAAGGCUGUGGAGACCGACGUGUGAAUCUCGCUCUCCGCCCGCCACAGUCCCUCCCCCAUCCCCAGCAUCUCCAAAUAUAUUUAUGCAUAGAGAGUGCAGUUAUGAAAAUGAAAUAUGCAAAUGAAGCCAACGCAUACAGUAGUACGCCAUUUAAUGGUUAUACAUGGCAUAAUUGUUACUAAACUUGUCUUACAUAUCAAAUAAAUGAUACAUCUUGGAGAAGAGGGAGGCUUAAAUAGGAGCAAAUCUAUCUUUAUAUUUUUUAUUAGAAUGCAAGAAUUUUGCACAUUAACUGGAAAAGAUGUUAAACAUAAAGGUGGUUCCAUGGAGAGAACGUGUUUGUGUGCGUGCGUGCUGCGUGCGUGUGUGUGUGUAAAUAAAUUGUCAACGUUGUUAGUAAUUGUGCAGUGAUGGGAAAAGUUGGCAUUUUGAGUAUUUACUAUGUAAGAACUGAUGAACUCGAGCAGUCAUUUUCAGUGCUUUUAUAGCCUCUCACGUCUUUGGAUUCCAUAGUUGUUGUUUUUUAAAAAUUGUGAGAAUUACUAUGUAGAAAAAAAAGAAAGUGAAUUAUUUAAUAGAAUAUAGGUCACAGUUUUAUCAUGGAUUUAAUUAAAGUUUAUUUUUAACUGGAAAUUAACUUUUAAAAAGGCUGCAGGGGCCUUUAGAAAUUGAUUAUAUUUUACUAUUAAUUUUGGAAAGAUAGGACAGCAAAUGCCUAACAAUAUGGAAGAAAUGAAAUAGGAGAAAAUGUAACAAGUUUUGUUCACAGAUACCAGGACUGGAAUGUUUGGUUUUUCUUUCCUUUGCACUACUUUAAAUGCUGGAGAUUGAGAGACACUUCAUACUGUGAAUGUUUACUAAUGUAACAGUUCAAUGACAAUCAUUGGAAGAAUGAUUUCUUAGUCUUAUUAUAUUGCUCUCUUCUUUUCUUUGUGUGAGACUAAUGGCCACAGAGAUAACAGCACAUGACUCCCUUCUCUUUUUAAGUCUAAAUAACUGAUGUGCAAAGGGACUAUGAAGCCAAAUUUAGCAACUGAAUCUUUUGAAAUUGGUCUGUUACAAUGAUGCUUCUGAAACCAUACUAUUUUAAAUAUUCUUCUGCCUUUAAAUCCAGAAUAAUUUAACCAAAGGUAAUGCAUGCACUGAAAGAAUUCUGGAAGACGUGAGAUGCCCAGCAGCUACAGUGAUUGUGGCUUCAGAGCUUUCUAUUAAAUGUGCGACAUAAAUGCUGGAUUUAUUAAGUCUGUUCCUUUGUGCAGCUCCCUAAGAGCAGAGUGUGGGGUCCAUCUCAGAAUUUAGCGUUCUAUUUGCUAAAAUUGAUAUAAAAAAGAAUUGCAUCAAAACGUUUGGUUUCAACAUCACCAUCAUUAUCAUUUUGAUUAAAGGAAUUUAUGACACACGUAACUGCGUUUAACUCACGACGAGGUUCUAGAAUGUGAGGUAACGGCCAAUGAUGGGACUUGACUAUUAAGUCACAAUGAGAUGUGGGUUAGCAAACUCAGAAUGUGUAAGAGGCCUUGUUCUCCACUGUUUCUUCAACUCUGUUCUUUAUAAGAUAGUUGUCCUGAGGUUUGGAAAAAAAUACUACCUAGAGUAUCGUAGCUCGUAAUGAACUCUGACAACUGUGAACUAAAAGAAAAAAAAAGACCUAGAAUAGCUUGUCUUCGGCUUUUUAAUCCCAGGCCAUCAUUUGAUAGGAAUGUAAAUCUUACCUCUCCUUUAAUGAUAUUUGAAAUUCAAAGUGAGUCCAGUGUUAGGUCUGAAAGCAAAGCUUCACUCUUCCCCCCAUGCCUUCCCCAGGACUUUGCAGAGCCACACCUCCUCAGAGAACAACUCUGGGAGAAUGAGAAGCAGCCACAGGGGAGUCAGGUCUGAAAGUGCAGACCAAAGGUCUCUAGGGGACAGUAGAGAGUGAGAAAAUAAGGAAAUGCCAUCUUGUAACAAGACUUCAAAGAUGGCGUUAUAAUAUAUUUUGGAUUUGGAGCAAACGUGUAGCAAGCAUUAGACGGGGGAAAGGCUAUUUGGGUCAUUUGGAAAAGUCACUCUGUUAAUCUCUGUGCCCCAAUUUCCUCCUAGUAAAAAGAGGGCGCCAUAAAGCAUGUGUGACGUCCCAGAGCUGUUGAGGAAAGCCAGUGAGAGCGUGUGAAGACUGAGAUGUCGAGUUCCAUGCCAAUGCCUGAUGUGGUGUCUACAUCGCUUCAUCUCCCUCUGGGAGAAAAAGAGGUUGAGAACCUAUGAGCGACAUCUGCUUUGUUAGGAUCUUGUGGAAAUCAUGGGUCUGAUCCAGCCAAUGAGAAGACAGUAAACUGCUUUUUUCCUGGAGCAGCAACAAGGAAAUCCAGGCGAGUGAACUGAUCCUUUAGCUGUGGUCCCAGACCUGGGAGGCGUAUGUGUGUAAGUCCGGCAUCCCAGUUCCCUUUGGUCUUAGUCUCUCAGAGCAUCUGGUACCAAACCAUAGACUGGCUGGGAAUUGAAGCUGUUUGUCGUAUUAGGGCUACAAUGCACCUCCCCCUUCAGAGCCAGGGCUUCUUCCACGUUUUUAGAAGAUUACCGCUGGCACGGGUAUUUCACAGUGGGGAGUUCCCCCUCCCCCUCCCCUGCUCUAAUGCAGAAUAUUAAUGUGAAUUAAACUGAGGGUAUUAAAACUGAGACCGAGUUAAGCAACCAGUGGAAGUCCUGGGAGUGGAUGUCACUAAGGCAGAGCCGAGGGGCGUGUUCAUGUAGGUUGCUGCCAGUGUGCAGUUCUUAGAGGCAUGGAAAAAUCGUAAAAUCUGUGCAGCGUCAUGAGAGCUCCUUGCUGCUGCUGUCUGCGCUGUGGCGGUUUGGCUCCUUGCUGCUGUUCCAGAGAAGAAGUGUCCUUCCACUACUAGGGUUCACAGACUUCACAGGCCUCCAGGCGGCGUGAGGAACGUGGGGACAGAAAGGGUGAGCUUAGACAGAUCAGGGGGAAGCAACACACAGUGUUUUCAGGUGUGAAUCAUCCUGUGACACCCGACUGUUUUGCUCCCUCCAGGGACUGAGGGAAUCUUUGGGCGGGAGAGGCGCUGCCCAGGAGUUACGGAUGCCUUUUUGUCUGCCGAGGGUAUCGCUGCUGGAGAUCAGUCUGUCUGGCACGGGAUACGUCCUGCCCUCCUUGUUAGAAUAAGCUGAAAAUUACAUGCUGGAGACGUUUUCAUUUUGGUUAUGAAAAGCGGUAGUUGUGUUAUAAGCUUUGCAGGAUAGAUUAGAAAGUCAUGCAACUUUCAAAAAUUUGACUGCACCCCUGAAAGGAUUUGGGAAGGAAAUCAAGGUGGACGAUUCUGAUAUAAGUUCUGACCCAAUAUGAACUGGUUCAAAAUCAAGUGUUCAAAGGUCUGCCUUUUAGUUUCCCUUUUCAAUCUCCCCCCAUUAUGAAGCUGCUGUUUGUUUUUAACUGCAGAGAUAGACCUGUAAAGCGCGUGGCACCCCCACCUCCCCCGCCCCGCUGCACCCGUCACCUUCACUUCCACAGAAGCCGGGAUCCGGAAGGCUUCUGCCAUCCCAGGUUCACAGAUUCUCAAGGAGAGCUUUUUUUGAGUGAUCCGGGCAGAUAUCUUCCCGUUUCACAAAUCAGGCCGUGCCAGUGCACACCCAGAUUCUUCUGCCACACCUGCUGUGUGAGUCUGUUGUGUUCUCUUAUUAUGCUGGGUAUUUUCUGCCUAUUGCUGAACAGCUGGGAUUUAGAAACAGCUGGAUGAUUAGUUGUGUAUUUUCCAUUUUUCACCCAGAUGCUUUAUUACUGUGUAGAAACAACCCCAAUGUGGAAUGAGCUGGGAGUAUAAUAGCAAAAAUCGUGCUCUGGUGCAACUGUUGUUAUUAGGAGUUUAAUCAAGAAAAUUAAGGGCAAACUGUUUUGAGUCUUGUUCACUUUACAAACACGUUGUCAGACAGGGAGGACUCAUUUCCAUUCCCAGGCAAGGCAGCUGAUGUACCAGCUUGUAAAAUGCCUCCUGCGAUGUUCCUCAGGCUACAGAGCGAGGCUCUGGCUGCUGCGUUUAUCUGCUGGAGGGGAAAUGUCUACACUCGCUGAGACAUCGCCUGGGUCUUCCACUCUGCUGGCAGAGGAGCUGACAGCGCGGCCGACUCCAGCCCUCUCACUCACCAGGGGCUAUUUUUAGGUUGGUCCCUUGGUGACUAGCUUCAACCCUGACUGGAGGGUUGAAAUUCAGAGACAAUGCAAUGUUUUAUUGUGACGAUUUAGGUUUAUAAAACUGUUUGGUAUUGUGAAAGGGACAAAUUUAAUUCGGGUGCUGUUUGUCAGUUCCUCACCCAGGGCUAAAAUUAGAACAGAAAGGGUGCACAGACUUCUUUCUUUUACCAAUUAUUUUUCACCAGAUGUUUGUUGAGCUCACGUAGGUGACUGGGCUGCACCUGUGUUCCCACCCUCUGCAUGUAUGAACACCAGCGAGUCAGUCCACGUGGAAGGAUUUUUGAGUUAUGGAAAGAAUCAUUUUUCUAGAUAGCAGCAUUCCUGUUUACCAUUCUUUUUUUUUUCUUUUUUUCCCCAGAAUCUGUAUGGGUGACUGGGUCUAGUUUCUCCUUGGAGAGUGAAUUGGCAGGCUAUCAUGCUUUAAUAAUACUUUUUAUAAACUCUAUCUUGCGUUCUGUACUAUGCUUCGUUUUCUGUCAUAGCUUCUGUAUAAACUGCAGGGUAAAUGGGACCGAAUUCAACUUGCCCGUUUUUUAUGAUUCUUACAUGAGCAGUAGCAGUCAUCAGUGCUUUCAAAUAGUGGAGAUGACCGUAAAAGAGUAUUUACUUCUUUUAAUCCCCAGGAUUUAUAUUUCUUCCAUCGAAUAGCAUGUGAUUAAGUUAUAACUGAGAGAGAGACAGAGAGAAGCAGAUUUGACUGAAAUAAUAAACAUCUGUGAAACAAUAAACAAUAAUGUAUUUUUAAUUCAAAAGUAGGUUUUUUUCAGGACCAUGGUUUUCUGCCCCCACAAAAGCAUUUUUUUUUCUUAAACUCUCCUGUAUCUUUCUCCUUGAGAAAGGUAUGAAUGCUGUUGAUGGUGCGUUUAAAAAUUUUGAUUUGAGUGAAGACCUGAGUUUCUUUCUUGGAUAAAUAUAAAAAUGAUUAUUCUUUUUGUGGACAUUUCUACCAAGGAAAGCCAAAUAAAAUUGGAUCAAUGACAUGGCUAAGUCAGGGCAGUUGAGGCAGACUUGCAGGAUUUUUCUGAGAUUUUUCUUCUGUCUCCAUUGAUCAGAUCCCAUAGGUAUUUGCCCAGGUUUCCAUUUACUUUUCAAGAUGAUGUCUGAUUUCUUUCUCUUGGAGUUAAGGCUUUCACAUUUGAAAUGCAGUUGUAAUAACAUUUUUUUAUUUAGCUCUCUCCAGCUAGCUUUAACUUCUUAAGAACAACUCAGACUUCUCCUAUGAAAUGUGUCUUGAGGACUAUCUUGUUCAUUUUCAGAACAUACAUUAGAGACCCUUGGCUUUUAGUCUUCAUUCAAGCCAAACAACCCGUAUCUUUAAUUGAAGCUGCUUCUACUUGAAGCCAAAACAAUUGGUCGUGUCAGUGAAGAAAAAUUAAAAAGCCAAGUUGAUUGUCUGGCAUCAUGAAGUCAUUGAUUCAAUUCUGCUUCAUUAAAGCCGUUAGUAUCAAACGCCUCCUGAAUUCUCUUUAAAUUUGGGGAGUUUUAAAUUGUUAUCUAUUCUGUCAGAGAAGUACCUUUAACUGUAAAACCAUUAUCUUGUGGGAUUUUAAUUUUUUACUUUAGCAAACAGCAACUAUUCCUGUGCCUUAGAAAUAUGACGUUCUGCACAUUAAAUGCAAAUGAAAUCCUUAUUUAUGUGAUUUCUUAAAACUGAGAUUACUUUUCCUUCACAAUUUUCAUGAAAGUAUCUGCAAACUUUGAAAAUGUAUGUUUCAGCCUAAAUUAGUAGAC